ACUUCACUGCCUUGUUGUCGAAGCAGCGACAAUGUUCACACUCAUCAUCACUCUCUGCCUAUUUACAACAGUGAACACUGACACCUCUGAGCUUCAGGUACAAACUGUGAGAAGUGGAAGUAACGUUACCAUAAAAUGUGGCCAUAAAAUGGACAGUGACAGUAAAACUGUGUUUUUAGCUUGGUAUAAGCAGAGUUUAGGAAAAGUGCCAGAGUAUGUUGUGAGAUCGUUUGGGGAUGAAAGGAAACCGAGAUUUACACAAAGUUUUAGUAAAGAACGUUUUACUCUGGAUGAAGAAGCAUCUGGUCUCAUUAUUAAUGGAAUAAAGGAAGAGGAUGCUGGAACUUAUUUCUGUGGAAAAGUAAAGCAAAAUUUUGUAGAGUUUGAUUCUGGGACUCUUUUACUUUUUGAAGCUGUGAAGACUGACCAACAUCAUGUGACUGAAAUGGUGAUCAAGACUGGAGACUCUGCUACUCUCCAGUGUUCAGUACAGUCUGUUAAUUCAAACUGUUCAGGAGAUCACAGUGUGUACUGGAUCAGACAUGGAUCAGGAGAAUCUCACCCAGGAAUCAUUUACACUCAUGGAAACAGGAGUGAUGAGUGUGAGAAAAGCUCUGAGACUGAUUCUCCUACACAGAGCUGCGUCUACAAACUCCCCAAGAGAAACCUCAGCCUCUCUGAUGCUGGAACUUACUACUGUGCUGUGGCUGCAUGUGGACAGAUACUGUUAGGAGAUCAAACUAAAGUUACUCUACAAGAAAAUAGCAGCUGGAUUAUCAUCACCCUGUCAAUAUCAAAUGUAAUAUCCAUUAUUAUGAUCAUUGUUCUGAUUGGGUUUCUACUUAAGAGUCAACAAAAAGGUGCUACAAACACCCAGCAAAGCCACACUAAUCAGGCUGAGGAUGCAAAGGUCGUAACCUAUGCUGCCCUGAACUUUCCUAUGAAACGUCCCUCCAGGAAGCAGAUGGAAAGUCAACCCAUAGCUGAUGGGAGACAAGCACCGACAGCAUCACAAUAAUCCUCUUUCUUUCUAUUCUGCCUGAAGAGGUCACAGUGGAUCAAGUGGAAGAUGAGUUCAGGAUAUAUCAAACGACCAGCUGACAAGAUAAGUGCCUUGGUGACAAGAAAUGUGAACACGGCUGCAAUUGGCAAUGUGUGUCACAUGGAAAGCGUCAGUGAUGCUCAGAUGGAUCAGAAGCGUUACACUAUUGUGCUGCCUAAAAUAUUUUCUCAAGGACAUGCUGAUUUCUGCCCGCACCCUGACGGAGAAGCGGCUUUGAAAAUGGAUGGAUGGAUGCUGAUUUCUGCGUACGGAAGGAGCCAUUGAGAGUUGAGGGAGCAUCUAUAAAUUACGACCAUGAAAGUCCACGCAAGCAACAUCGAUAUAAAACCUUAUGAACUGGUAGAUUUGUGUUCAGAUAGAACACAAAUGAUGGGCAGUGAGUUUUUAGAAUGCUCUUUAUUUAUAAUAAUUGCUUUUGAAGGGUCUCAAAGUAAGAUGUAGAGCAGAGUGGUCUUUAUCCUGUUGUAAACAAUGUUGUUGUCUUUUGUUUGUUUGUUUGUUUGUUUGUUUUACCAAAUAAGGCAAAUAAGGAAGAUAUGGGGGCACGUAAGUCCCAGGAGAGCAGUAUAGUUUUUAGCUAUAUUGCAUUUGAUCCAAAGUACUCGAUCAUUCUACAGUAAUCAUUUGUUUCUAUGUUUUAGUAUCAGAGCUUUUCGUCUCAGUUUAACAAAUAAUUAUUAUUGUCCUGUUAAAGUUUUUUUUUUUUUUUCUGGGCAGCUGCUUUGAUUUAUGAAGAUGUCACCUUCUUGUCACCGUUAACCAUUUCUGUAAAUGUGAGUGAUUGUUUCUUUGAGGCUCAAUAUUAAAGUCACCUAUGAUCUAUCA
RNA transcript from Pygocentrus nattereri (red-bellied piranha), 1888 nucleotides. RefSeq lists it as uncharacterized. Lineage: Eukaryota; Metazoa; Chordata; Actinopteri; Characiformes; Serrasalmidae. The transcript is spliced from 8 exons. The record is from RefSeq and is a predicted model, not a curated record.